CAGCGCCUGAAGCAGUGAGAUGGGGGCAAGAUUUAUUUACAGCAAAAAUGCUUUAUUAAAUCCACCCUUCGAUGUAUCAAUAAAGAGCGAACAUUUAAGAGAGCUCCCACUAUCUUUGAUUUGGUUCGGAAUGACAAGACUAAGAGGUCUAACGAUCUUAAGUCAGGAGUAUAUCGGAUCCCCCUGCGCAACUUGGACGAUAACCGCACAGAGAUCUACGUAGGAGCUACCGCCAGAAAUUUUAAAGACAGGAUUUCCGAAUACAAAAAUGACAUUUCUAAAGGCAACCUUAAUACCGCCUUAGCCUUGAGAGUUUUUGAAAAGAAC
This 327-nucleotide long non-coding RNA is filed under the name Androctonus crassicauda. Lineage: Eukaryota; Metazoa; Arthropoda; Arachnida; Scorpiones; Buthidae. The record is from RNAcentral.